Long non-coding RNA from Lycium barbarum (goji berry), 1183 nucleotides. RefSeq lists it as uncharacterized. The record is from RefSeq and is a predicted model, not a curated record. The transcript has 2 exons. Lineage: Eukaryota; Viridiplantae; Streptophyta; Magnoliopsida; Solanales; Solanaceae.
GUGUCUUAAUUUGACUUGACAUAAAAUUUAAGGAAUAAAAAGGGCUUUUGAAUUUUGCGGUGACAUAAAAUUUAGUGAAUAAAAGGGACUUGAAUUUUGUGAUUUUAAAUUAAAAAUGUUAUAAUGUACUAAAAUAUAGUUUAAAUCUUGUCAUGGUAUUUGAAUUGUCAAUUGAUUAAACAUAAAAAGAGAUAUUAUUUUUAGUAGAAAUAAAAAAGAAAAGUAAAAUACUAAAAUUGAAUGCAUGGAUAUCAUAUUAAAUUGUCCUACAUGCAUGAUAAGUUAGGGCUCAUCAUAAGCUAGCAAUCUAGUCGUAAUAUAGCUGGCAUUACAUUAUUGCAAUAAUAUUUUCGGUCAAAGAUUCCGUAUUAGACAGAAGAAGUGGAGAACUGCUAGCCACAUGCAUUAUACAUGGCAAACAAAGAAGACAAGUCACCAUCGAUGGUUUUGAUACACGUUCAAUUCCUUGGAAAUACGUGCAUCAUUAACCUAAUUAGGGUUGUGCAUGUUAACGGUUAAAUCGAUAACCCGAAUUGAUUAUUAAGUUAAUGGUUCGGGUUAAUGGAUUACCGGUUCGGGUACCGGGUGGUGUUUUUGGGUUAUUGGGUCGGGUCGCGGGUUGACCAUUUUUGUUAACGGGUUACCCGAUAACCCGAUAACAAUUUAAUUAAUUACACUUCUACCCUUUCAUAUAUAUUAAGUCACUUACACUACAAUUAGGGUUACUUCAUUUCAUUUCAUUACACAACCUCUUUGCCUCUCUUUAAGUCUCAAGCCUCUCUUACGUCUUACUCAUUCACAUGAUUCUCAAGCCCCUCUUUUUCUUGCCUCUUCUUUGACGAUUUCUGCCUCUUUCACGAACAUGGCUCUGUGGGUCGGAAAUGCAAAAGCAAAAGUACUUGCCAUCAUUGGUUGAACUUAAAACUAUAGCUUGUUGGGUGAGAACUUUUUGUUUUGAUUAUUUCUUUAGAAUUUGUAUCUGUGGUUACCAAAGCAAGUUGCUUGAACAACUUGCUAGUCAAAGCAUUCUUAAUUAUCUGGUAUUGUAAGUAGAUUUAGUGAGGGCCAGCAUGCAAAUUGUUGUAUUACCAAAAAGGCGCUUUAGCAACUUGUUACUAUUAUGAAGGUUUAUACAAGACCUGAAAGGGAAACUGCUGGAGUUUGGUCCAGUCAAACUCUGCAA